Long non-coding RNA from Sinocyclocheilus anshuiensis, 339 nucleotides. RefSeq lists it as uncharacterized. The record is from RefSeq and is a predicted model, not a curated record. The transcript is spliced from 3 exons. NCBI's taxonomy places the organism in Eukaryota, Metazoa, Chordata, Actinopteri, Cypriniformes, Cyprinidae.
AGCAAGGAAGAUUAAGGAAGAACAGAUGAGGAGAUUAUACAAGAGACAUUGUUGUGACAUCAAUCCACAUUGAAUCUGAUUAAAGUCAAUCACCGACUUACGAGACCUCAUCAUUGUGACAUCAUUCCACAUUGUCUCCAGUUUGGGGCAAUCACUCAAUUACAGUAAGUGUUGUUGUUGUUUUUGUUAUAAAUAUAUAACUAAACUUUACUUGUUUAAUUACUUUGUAAAAGUGUUAAUGUUAAGAGUCUGUGUGUGUACCUCAAUGAGGACAUGACAACAGUCAUCAAAGAAUUCCAGGUUUGUAUAAGUAUGCCCUUUUUUUAAGGACCUAACAUA